UCGUCAGCUCGUGUCGUGAGAUGUUGGGUUAAGUCCCGCAACGAGCGCAACCCUUAUUAUUAGUUGCCAGCAUUAAGUUGGGCACUCUAAUGAGACUGCCGGUGACAAACCGGAGGAAGGUGGGGAUGACGUCAAGUCAUCAUGCCCCUUAUGAUCUGGUCUACACACGUGCUACAAUGGAUGGUACAACGAGUUGCGAGACCGCGAGGUUUAGCUAAUCUCCUAAAGCCAUUCUCAGUUCGGAUUGCAGGCUGCAACUCGCCUGCAUGAAGCUGGAAUCGCUAGUAAUCGCGAAUCAGAACGUCGCGGUGAAUACGUUCCCGGGA
RNAcentral lists this ribosomal RNA (326 nucleotides) under uncultured Alkalibacterium sp. RNAcentral describes it as "bacterial SSU rRNA". It matches the Rfam family "Bacterial small subunit ribosomal RNA", at positions 1052 to 1378 of the family's 1533-position model. Lineage: Bacteria; Bacillati; Bacillota; Bacilli; Lactobacillales; Carnobacteriaceae. The record is from RNAcentral.